CACGCUGUAAACGAUGAGAACUAGCCGUUGGGCACAAUUGAGUGUUUAGUGGCGCAGCUAACGCGAUAAGUUCUCCGCCUGGGGAGUACGGCCGCAAGGUUAAAACUCAAAUGAAUUGACGGGGGCCCGCACAAGCGGUGGAGCAUGUGGUUUAAUUCGAUGCAACGCGAAGAACCUUACCUGGUCUUGACAUGUCGGGAACCCUUGAGAGAUCGAGGGGUGCCUUCGGGAACCCGAACACAGGUGC
This 247-nucleotide ribosomal RNA is filed under the name uncultured Methylocaldum sp. RNAcentral's name for it is "partial 16S ribosomal RNA". It matches the Rfam family "Bacterial small subunit ribosomal RNA", at positions 796 to 1041 of the family's 1533-position model. The record is from RNAcentral. Lineage: Bacteria; Pseudomonadati; Pseudomonadota; Gammaproteobacteria; Methylococcales; Methylococcaceae.